AUACGGGGGGUGCAAGCGUUAUUCGGAAUCACUGGGCGUAAAGGGCGCGCAGGCGGUUUGGUAAGUCAGAUGUGAAAGCCCGGGGCUCAACCCCGGAAGUGCAUUUGAUACUGCCUGACUUGAGUAUGGGAGAGGGAAGUGGAAUUCCUGGUGUAGAGGUGAAAUUCGUAGAUAUCAGGAGGAACACCGGUGGCGAAGGCGACUUCCUGGACCAAUACUGACGCUGAGGCGCGAAGGCGCGGGGAGCAAACAGGAUUAGAUACCCGAGUAGUCC
Molecule: ribosomal RNA, 274 nt
Filed under: uncultured bacterium
Lineage: Bacteria
Description: partial 16S ribosomal RNA
Rfam family: Bacterial small subunit ribosomal RNA
Source: RNAcentral